ACUCAAAUGAAUUGACGGGGGCCCGCACAAGCGGUGGAGCAUGUGGUUUAAUUCGACGCAACGCGCAGAACCUUACCAGGCCUUGACAUCCCGUGCUACGCUCAGAGAUGGGCGGUCCCCGCAAGGGGCGCGGAGACAGGUGCUGCAUGGCUGUCGUCAGCUCGUGUCGUGAGAUGUUGGGUUAAGUCCCGCAACGAGCGCAACCCUCGCCUUUAGUUGCCAUCAUUUAGUUGGGCACUCUAAAGGGACCGCCGGCGAUAAGCCGGAGGAAGGUGGGGAUGACGUCAAGUCCUCAUGGCCCUUACGGCCUGGGCUACACACGUGCUACAAUGGCGGUGACAGUGGGCAGCGACCACGCGAGUGGAUGCUAAUCCCCAAAAACCGUCCCAGUUCAGAUUGCACUCUGCAACUCGGGUGCAUGAAGGUGGAAUCGCUAGUAAUCGCAGAACAGCAGGCUGCGGUGAAUACGUUCCCGGGCCUUGUACACACCGCCCGU
RNAcentral lists this ribosomal RNA (496 nucleotides) under uncultured bacterium. RNAcentral describes it as "bacterial SSU rRNA". It matches the Rfam family "Bacterial small subunit ribosomal RNA", at positions 899 to 1397 of the family's 1533-position model. The record is from RNAcentral.